CGUAACAAGGUUUCCGUAGGUGAACCUGCGGAAGGAUCAUUCACAAGAUUAUAUUUUAUAUUACUUUGUGGAACAUUUGGUUGAAUUUACAUGUUUUAUUACAAAAAAUUAAUUAUAAUUAAAAAAAUAAUUUUAAGAAAACCUCCAACAACGGAUCUCUUGGUUCCCAGAUCGAUGAAGAGCGCAGCGAAUUGCGAAAUGUGAUGUGUAUUGCAGUGAAUCAUCAAUUCUUGAACGCACAUGGCACCCCUUUUAGGGGUAUGCUUGUAUGAGGGUGUUUAAUAUGAAAUUGCUUUGGCUUUUUUUAAAUAAAUGGUUUUUCAAAUUGUUACUAAUAGACGAAAGAAUCAGUGCAACAAGCUGUGUUGAAUCUUUCAUUAAAUCUUUUAGUUAACUACUUUAACUAUUUGCACCUCAUAUCAAGCAAGACUACCCGCUGAACUUAAGCAUAUCA
This 454-nucleotide unclassified non-coding RNA is filed under the name Magnusiomyces capitatus. RNAcentral's name for it is "sequence contains 18S rRNA gene, ITS1, 5.8S rRNA gene, ITS2, 28S rRNA gene". The stretch from base 140 to 278 matches the Rfam family "5.8S ribosomal RNA". The record is from RNAcentral. Lineage: Eukaryota; Fungi; Ascomycota; Dipodascomycetes; Dipodascales; Dipodascaceae.